UACAGAGGUCCCAAGCGUUUGUUCGGAUUCACUGGGCGUAAAGGGUGCGUAGGUGGUGAGGUAAGUCGGAUGUGAAAUCUCCGAGCUCAACUCGGAAACUGCAUUGGAAACUACCUUGCUCGAGGGUUGGAGGGGGGACUGGAAUGCUUGGUGUAGCAGUGAAAUGCGUAGAUAUCAAGCGGAACACCAGUGGCGAAGGCGAGUCCCUGGACAACUCCUGACACUGAUGCACGAAAGCUAGGGGAGCAAACAGG
This 254-nucleotide ribosomal RNA is filed under the name uncultured bacterium. RNAcentral describes it as "partial 16S ribosomal RNA". It matches the Rfam family "Bacterial small subunit ribosomal RNA", at positions 524 to 776 of the family's 1533-position model. The record is from RNAcentral.